RNAcentral lists this ribosomal RNA (407 nucleotides) under uncultured bacterium. RNAcentral describes it as "partial 16S ribosomal RNA". It matches the Rfam family "Bacterial small subunit ribosomal RNA", at positions 30 to 526 of the family's 1533-position model. The record is from RNAcentral.
AUUGAACGCUGGCGGCAGGCCUAACACAUGCAAGUAGAGCGGAGCGGCGGACGGGUGAGUAAUGCCUAGGAAUCUGCCUGGUAGUGGGGGAUAACGUCCGGAAACGGGCGCUCAUACCGCAUACUAUCAGAUGAGCCUCGGUCGGAUUAGCUAGUUGGUGGGGUAACGGCAUACCAAGGCGACGAUCCGUAACUGGUCUGAGAGGAUGAUCAGUCACCCUGGAACGUAGACAAGGUCCAGACUCCGACGGUAGGCAGCAGUGGGGAAUAUUGGACAAUGGGCGAAAGCCUGAUCCAGCCAUGCCGCGUGUGUGAAGAAGUUCUUCGGAUUUUAAAGCACUUUAAGUUGGGAGGCGUUACCAACAGAAUAAGCACCGGCUAACUUCGUGCCAGAAGCCGCGGUAAUAC